CGCUCUUUGCCUAUUUUUUAUAAUGAGUCGAACCUGCCCAGUGAUUUUUAUUUAACGGCCGCGGUACUCUGACCGUGCAAAGGUAGCAUAAUCAUUUGCCUUAUAAUUAAAGGCUAGUAUGAACGGUUUGACAAGAAUAAAGCUGUCUCACGCAAAUUUUAUAAAAUUUGGUUUUUAGGUGAAGAAACCUAAAUAAAAUUGAAAGACAAGAAGACCCUAUCGAGCUUAAAAUAACUUUUGUGAUAUUAUGUUAAAAUCAGUUUUACAAAAAAAUUUUGGUUGGGGCGACUAAGGAACAUAAAAAGCUUCCUAUGAAAUGUAAAAACUUUUAAGUUUUGAUCCAAAAAUUUUGAUUAACAAAAUUAGUUACCGUAGGGAUAACAGCAUAAUCUUUUUUGAGAGUUCUCAUCGAAAAAAAGGUUUGUGACCUCGAUGUUGGACUAGGGUAACCCGAAAGGUGCAGAAGCCUUCAAUGGUUGGUCUGUUCGACCACUAAGACCCUACGU
RNAcentral lists this ribosomal RNA (506 nucleotides) under Mercuria midarensis. RNAcentral's name for it is "partial large subunit ribosomal RNA". It matches the Rfam family "Bacterial large subunit ribosomal RNA", at positions 1816 to 2601 of the family's 2925-position model. The record is from RNAcentral. Lineage: Eukaryota; Metazoa; Mollusca; Gastropoda; Littorinimorpha; Hydrobiidae.